GCUCAGCUGUGCCCCGCCCACACACAGCUCUCUCGCUCAGCUGUGCCCCCCCCACACACACAGCUCUCUCGCUCAGCUGUGCCCCGCCCACACACACAGCUCUCUCGCUCAGCUGUGCCCCGCCCACACACACAGCUCUCUCGCUCAGCUGUGCCCCGCCCACACACACAGCUCUCUCGCUCAGCUGUGCCGGUAAGACUGGUAGCUUUGCUGUAGGGAUUCCUCAAGUACGCCGCAAGUGUUUUUUUCAACACGUUAAAGAGACUUAGAGUUAUUAAAACAAAUCCGUUAGUAGAUGUCACCUGAACUGAUACUGACGAUUCUCAUCGUCAUCGCCGGUAAGUAAAGCUUCUUCAUACAAUAACACAAACGUGGAUAAACGCUAAACAAAAUUAAUGUUUAAAAUCAGGUGCUGCAUGUGGCAAAAAGAUAGAGGCGAAAAAUGGAGAAGACUUUUCCUUCGUUGUCAACACAUCUGAGCCGAGGAAAGUCAUUCUACAAAACGUAGAAAAGAACGUGACCCUAGAUAUCUUCCGCUACUGUUCCGAAGAGGAGCGAAAGCACGGCUGCAAGAUGAAGAGAUCGGGAAGAUGUUCAUCCCAGAUCAGCAAAGAGACCUUCAACAUAACCUGUCUUCAUGCAAACCCGAGCGACGCUGGACAUUACACUGUCCGAGUUACCGAGAAAAAUUGGGACGAAAAUCCUUUUACAUUUUCAUUGAAAGUAAUUGACCCUGGUCCUCCAUCCAUCCAUCCAUUUACCACACCUGCUAUGUCCAGCAAAGCAGAAGAGACAAUCGAGACAGAUGACCUAACCACCGCAAUCAUCAUAGUGGUUGUCUUAUUGUUGGCCAUUGUCGUUAUUUUCGUUAUUGUUGUUAUUGUCGUUAUCUGCUGUAAAAAGGCAAGUGUUAUCAGUGGUAAAUUACACAACACUUUUAUUUUUGUAUUAAUAUUGUAGCACUUGAGAAAUUUUGCUGAGGAAUGAAGUCAUAAUAGAUCAAAAAAAUGUCAUUUAUGUACACUGAAUUCUGCUUGCAUGAUGGUAUGGUACUAAAAAUUGCAUUGCAAUUACAUUGCAAAUUAAGAUUUUAAAUGUCAGAUAUUUCAUCUACCUACAGAAGAAGCGAAAGAAAAAUCACACGGAGGAUCCAGGAGAAAGCGCUGCUCUCAACUUAAACACCAAUGCAGCAGAUAAACCGGACACAGAGGAAUCCUUAGAGAUUGUGGUUGAGACAAACUUUUCCGGGGACAUUAAAGAGAGACCUGAACAGGGUCUGAACAAGGGCUGAAAGCCAUUGAGAUAUCUCAUGCAAGUCACCAUCACAAAAAAGCUCUUCUCCGAGACGAGCAGAAGCUCAGAUGUUCGAGCAGAAACACAACGGUGAAGAUUCCCACCAGACCAGGCAGAACCAGACGAACCAGAGCCUUGGUGACCCCACAGUGAUCCACAGAAUCUGAAAGACAAAAGAGAUCACAGUGAGGUCAAGUGUGUUGUAGUAAUUAGUUUAUGCCAGUUAAGGUACAGCUUGCCUUUUAUUUCAGGGUUUCUGCACCUAUGUGUUUAAAUGACACUUGCAUGAUAGAGAUGGAUCAAGGCUGUAAAUGUUCCUGUACUGUAUUUGCAUGCUUUUGUUUCAAUGGUCUCCACCACUAUGUACCUUUCCCCCUUGAAGCCUAUAUACUCCACUGUGUUAUGUUUUGGUUAGAUUUUUUUUUUUUUUGAGAUUUCUUGAAGACUUCUUGCAGAUGACUAUAGCAACAAAAUAAAAAGACACUCCUGCUUUAC
Molecule: long non-coding RNA, 1788 nt
Organism: Puntigrus tetrazona (Sumatra barb)
Lineage: Eukaryota; Metazoa; Chordata; Actinopteri; Cypriniformes; Cyprinidae
Exons: 3
Source: RefSeq, a predicted model, not a curated record